This 78-nucleotide transfer RNA is filed under the name Luminiphilus sp. Its description in RNAcentral is "tRNA-Met". It matches the Rfam family "tRNA". Rfam says of the family: Transfer RNA (tRNA) molecules are approximately 80 nucleotides in length. Their secondary structure includes four short double-helical elements and three loops (D, anti-codon, and T loops). The record is from RNAcentral. Lineage: Bacteria; Pseudomonadati; Pseudomonadota; Gammaproteobacteria; Cellvibrionales; Halieaceae.
AGGUCCCAUAGCUCAGUUGGUUAGAGCACAGGACUCAUAAGCCUGGGGUCGGCGGUUCGAAUCCGCCUGAUCCUACCA